This 253-nucleotide ribosomal RNA is filed under the name uncultured bacterium. Its description in RNAcentral is "partial 16S ribosomal RNA". It matches the Rfam family "Bacterial small subunit ribosomal RNA", at positions 524 to 776 of the family's 1533-position model. The record is from RNAcentral.
UACGAAGGGUGCAAGCGUUACUCGGAAUUACUGGGCGUAAAGCGUGCGUAGGUGGUUUGUUAAGUCUGAUGUGAAAGCCCUGGGCUCAACCUGGGAACGGCAUUGGAAACGGGCUUACUAGAGUGCGGUAGAGGGGUGUGGAAUUCCCGGUGUAGCAGUGAAAUGCGUAGAUAUCGGGAGGAACAUCUGUGGCGAAGGCGACACCCUGGACCAGCACUGACACUGAGGCACGAAAGCGUGGGGAGCAAACAGG